GACGAACGCUGGCGGCGUGCUUAACACAUGCAAGUCGAACGGAAAGGCCCUGCUUGCUGGGUCUUCGAGUGGCGAACUGGUGAGUAGCACGUGGGUGCUCUGCCCUGCACUUCGUGAUAGGCGUGGGCGACUGGGUCUAUUACCUGAUAGGGACCAUCUUUUAUGGGGUGGUUGGAAAGUUCUUUCGGUGUAGGAUGAGUUCGCGGCCUAUCAGCUUGUUGGUGGGGUAAUGACCUACCAAGGCGGCGAGGGGUAGCCGGCCUGAGAGAGUGUACGGCCACAUUGGGACUGUGAGACAGGCCAGAGUCCUGCAGGAGGGAGCAGUGGGGCAUAUUGCACAAAGGGCGCAAGCGUGAGGCAGCGACGCCGCGUGGGUGAUGAAGGCCUUCGUGUUGUAAACACCGCUCGCGAGGGACGAAGCUUUGUUGUGACGGUACCUAGAUAAGAAGCACCGGCUAACUACGUG
Molecule: ribosomal RNA, 466 nt
Filed under: uncultured bacterium
Lineage: Bacteria
Description: partial 16S ribosomal RNA
Rfam family: Bacterial small subunit ribosomal RNA
Source: RNAcentral